This 301-nucleotide ribosomal RNA is filed under the name uncultured bacterium. RNAcentral's name for it is "partial 16S ribosomal RNA". It matches the Rfam family "Bacterial small subunit ribosomal RNA", at positions 509 to 807 of the family's 1533-position model. The record is from RNAcentral.
CAGCCGCCGCGGUAAUACGAAGGGGGCUAGCGUUGCUCGGAAUCACUGGGCGUAAAGGGUGCGUAGGCGGGUUUUUAAGUCAGAGGUGAAAUCCUGGAGCUCAACUCCAGAACUGCCUUUGAUACUGAAAGUCUUGAGUAUGGGAGAGGUGAGUGGAACUGCGAGUGUAGAGGUGAAAUUCGUAGAUAUUCGCAAGAACACCAGUGGCGAAGGCGGCUCACUGGCCCAUUACUGACGCUGAGGCACGAAAGCGUGGGGAGCAAACAGGAUUAGAUACCCGCGUAGUCCCUGUCUCUUAUAC